UUGCGGAGUUCCAACAAGAUGUGUGAAAGUGUAGUUAUAAAAACCCUUGGUAGCGUUUUUACCGGGUUGUACUUUCUGGCUGGAUGUAUUGCUGCGGAGCAAGUUGGUGGCGGGGCGUCUCGACUACUGCAUAGGAUCAAAAAGAGGUUUGUGUUGUUUUGAAACUUGAGUU
Molecule: long non-coding RNA, 172 nt
Organism: Cornus florida
Lineage: Eukaryota; Viridiplantae; Streptophyta; Magnoliopsida; Cornales; Cornaceae
Exons: 3
Source: RefSeq, a predicted model, not a curated record